Molecule: long non-coding RNA, 812 nt
Filed under: Parus major (Great Tit)
Lineage: Eukaryota; Metazoa; Chordata; Aves; Passeriformes; Paridae
Description: lncRNA (ENSPMJG00000000610.1)
Source: RNAcentral
GACUGAAGUACUGCAUGUUCUUGAAUAUCAUCCUUUUUCAGGUAUCAGCCAACUGUUACAGGAUCUUAGGGAGAGGAACAUGCGAUUUGACAGAUCUGCUUCCCUGACAAGAAAAGUCAAGCUGUUUAGAGAUGAAGAGCUGGACCAGAGCAGCUACCAAUCAAAAAUCUCCCUUAAAAGAUGAACAGGACUGUAUACACUCCUUUGGAUGUUGGCAUCAGCUUCCCCUGCUAAGUUUCUGCUCUGCAACCUCAUCAUAGAAUUUCACACUGGGUUAAAUUUUGGCAUGAUUCGGAAGAAGAUGAGCCAGGAAUUAAUGAAGAGGAAGAUUCAACAACAUGAUAACCAGAAGCUAAUGCUACUACUGCUUGAAAAAUUGAGUUUUCAGGUUUGUAAAGGACAAGAGGGGUUCAAUGCACCGACCAUAUCCAACUGCAAGUUGUCUGAUGAGAGAAAAGGACAUGAGCAGCUCACUAAUCUUUCUUGCAGGCUUCUGCAUCCAUUAUAUUCCUUCCAGUCAAGUGGAAGCAAGAUGAAAUUUUGGAAGACUCAAGUGAUAUUGAAAAGAGAAGCAGGGCAGGAGCACUGCCCAGAGGAAAAAUGAUGGAAGAAGGAACAGGGAGAUGAAGAAAAGGAACUUUAUUUAGCUUUCUUUCUCCUUUCUGAGGGGCUCCAAGAACCUUCUUCAAGAUUUACAUGUAUUGAACGAGUUAUUCUUAACAGUAAAAGUGAAGGACCCACUCCAAGAAUUAGGUCAUACAUUCCAGCUUCCUGACAAUAAAUAAUGGAAAAAGAUCUGAGUGAAGGUUAUC